Cyprinus carpio (common carp) is the source of this 1020-nucleotide long non-coding RNA. Lineage: Eukaryota; Metazoa; Chordata; Actinopteri; Cypriniformes; Cyprinidae. The record is from Ensembl.
AUGAGUGAAGCAGACUCAGCACGCGAUUUGCCUGCCGCUAGCAGUUCACAUGCAGUGCAGCGCUUUAAUGGACAUUUUCCGCCUAUCUUUUUGGGCGACGGGAAAGAAGAUUUUCUCCACUGGUGCAGGCGCUUUGAAGUGACUGUGGAGGCUAGCGCUGAUUUUGAUAACGCCAGGUUAGCAAAGUUUUUGCCAACUUGUCUUGGUGGUACUGCUUUUAACUACUGGGACAGUUUGCCUAGUGACAUUAAGAAAGACUAUAAACAAGUGAAAGAAAAAAUGAAAGCUGUUUUCGGAAAACGAGUUUAUCUCUCCACAUUUCAAAGUUAUGUGAAUGCACGCACACGCCUGCCUGGCGAGGCUCUCCAAGUUUUCGCAGCAGAAAUUAGCCAUUUGGUGGAUGAAGCUUUUCCCACAUAUGAGGCUAAUGCAAAGAAUGGAGAAAAAUUCAGACGGUUUGUUGCUGGAAUUGAACCUUAUCUGCAGCUUCGCAUUCAUGAACAAGGUGUAGAUACACUGGAUGCUGCUCUUGCGUUGGCUUUACAGAUUGAACAGGCACACCAAGCCAGCAAGGUACUGCUGCCGUCUCACCCACAACAGUGGACUACUUUGGCAGCAGGAGUUUUUCCUGGAUCUACCCUCAACGUUCUUCCACAGACUGUACCUACCUCUCCCUGCUCCACGAUGUCUACAGCUCUUCCUGCAGUUCACUCAGCUACAUCAGGGGACUUCAUGAAACUUCAACGGACCUUGGAAAGUUUGACAGAGAGAGUGGAUCAACUUCAGCUAGAGGUUAACAGACAGAGGUAUGCUGGCCGACACACUUCUUCACCGGAUCGACAGCGUCGCAGUCUUACCCCAGACGAUUCACGUGGGCGCACAUCUGAACGUCGCAGGUAUGACGGACAUUCAUAUACUGACUGUGACUCUUUUCAUGAGCGAAGUAGACCAUCAUAUAGAGAUACGAGUGGCGACAGGGACUAUUACAAAGCACGUAGAUAUGAGGGCUAUCGUGAUCAA